GAUGAACGCUGGCGGCGUGCCUAAUACAUGCAAGUCGAGCGAAUGGAUUAAGAGCUUGCUCUUAUGAAGUUAGCGGCGGACGGGUGAGUAACACGUGGGUAACCUGCCCAUAAGACUGGGAUAACUCCGGGAAACCGGGGCUAAUACCGGAUAACAUUUUGAACCGCAUGGUUCGAAAUUGAAAGGCGGCUUCGGCUGUCACUUAUGGAUGGACCCGCGUCGCAUUAGCUAGUUGGUGAGGUAACGGCUCACCAAGGCAACGAUGCGUAGCCGACCUGAGAGGGUGAUCGGCCACACUGGGACGGGGACACGGCCCAGACUACUACGGGAGGCAGCAGUAGGGAAUCUUCCGCAAUGGCCGAAAGUCUGACGGAGCAACGCCGCGUGAGUGAUGAAGGCUUUCGGGUCGUAAAACUCUGUUGUUAGGGAAGAACAAGUGCUAGUUGAAUAAGCUGGCACCUUGACGGUACCUAACCAGAAAGCCACGGCUAACUACGUGCCAGCCGCCGCCGUAA
RNAcentral lists this ribosomal RNA (515 nucleotides) under uncultured bacterium. RNAcentral's name for it is "partial 16S ribosomal RNA". It matches the Rfam family "Bacterial small subunit ribosomal RNA", at positions 28 to 523 of the family's 1533-position model. The record is from RNAcentral.